UAGGGAAUCUUCCACAAUGGGCGAAAGCCUGAUGGAGCAACACCGCGUGAGUGAAGAAGGGUUUCGGCUCGUAAAGCUCUGUUGUUAAAGAAGAACACGUAUGAGAGUAACUGUUCAUACGUUGACGGUAUUUAACCAGAAAGUCACGGCUAACUACGUGCUAG
RNAcentral lists this ribosomal RNA (164 nucleotides) under uncultured bacterium. RNAcentral's name for it is "partial 16S ribosomal RNA". It matches the Rfam family "Bacterial small subunit ribosomal RNA", at positions 355 to 511 of the family's 1533-position model. The record is from RNAcentral.